UGCGAAGGUAGCGUAAUCACUUGUUCUUUAAAUGAGGACUAGUAUGAACGGCACCACGAAGGUUAUACUGUCUCCUUUCUCCAAUCAGUAAAACUAAUCUCCCCGUGAAGAAGCGAGGAUAAAUUUAUAAGACGAGAAGACCCUAUGGAGCUUUAAACUAACCAGCAUUUGCUAUAUACAAAUUUUUAACUUAGACAAUCUAGCCCUCUGACUGGUAAUUUUCGAUUGGGGUGAUCACGGAACAAAAAUAACCUCCGUGUCGAAAGGAUAAACCUGAGCAAAAAGCGACAGCUUUCCGCACUAAAAAAUUAACGUUCAUUGACCCAAUAUUUUGAUCAACGAACCAAGUUACCCUAGGGAUAACAGCGCAAUCUACUUCAAGAGUCCCUAUCGACAAGUAGGUUUACGACCUCGAUGUUGGAUCAGGGUACCCCAGUGGUGCAGCCGCUACUAAAGGUUCGUUUGUUCAACGAUUAAUACCC
Molecule: ribosomal RNA, 482 nt
Filed under: Boana punctata (polka-dot treefrog)
Lineage: Eukaryota; Metazoa; Chordata; Amphibia; Anura; Hylidae
Description: partial large subunit ribosomal RNA
Rfam family: Bacterial large subunit ribosomal RNA
Source: RNAcentral